This 240-nucleotide ribosomal RNA is filed under the name uncultured bacterium. Its description in RNAcentral is "partial 16S ribosomal RNA". It matches the Rfam family "Bacterial small subunit ribosomal RNA", at positions 95 to 334 of the family's 1533-position model. The record is from RNAcentral.
UUGGCGGACGGGUGAGUAACGCGUGGAUAACCUGCCUUAUACAGGGGGAGUAACGGAGAGAAAUUUCCGCUAAGACCGCAUAAGACCACAGCACCGCAUGGUGCAGGGGUAAAAUAUUUAUAGGUAUAAGAUGGAUCCGCGUCCGAUUAGCUAGUUGGUGAGGUAGAGGCUCACCAAGGCGACGAUCGGUAGCCGGCCUGAGAGGGUGAACGGCCACAUUGGGACUGAGACACGGCCCAA